Athalia rosae (coleseed sawfly) is the source of this 505-nucleotide long non-coding RNA. RefSeq lists it as uncharacterized. NCBI's taxonomy places the organism in Eukaryota, Metazoa, Arthropoda, Insecta, Hymenoptera, Athaliidae. The record is from RefSeq and is a predicted model, not a curated record. The transcript has 3 exons.
CGCUGAACUACUGGUCGUCUAGGUCGGUAAGGAGCUCGACAAAUCUGAAAGAAAGAGGAAAAAGCGAUACGCGAAUGUUGCGCGUACAGUAUAAACGUGCCUCUGGCUCAAAGGUGUGAGUUAAAAGUGGAUUAAAAUCCUGUGAAAGGAGUGUUAAAAGUUAAAAAUAGAAAGAGGAGAAAAAAAGCGAAAAAAGGGAAAAUGGAAAAUGGAAAAUGGAAAAACAACAGAAGAAGAGAAUUAUAAAUGAAGUUCUUGGAAUACCUUCAUGAGAUGAAAGGCAGCUAACAGAAAUUGCGUUCCGAAGCAGCACCGGCAUCUGUAGAUACUCGUACAACUAUACGUACGCGUACGUAAGUAUACCAAUACCACGGAAACUGUGGAGAUCGGGCGUGCCUCGCUCGCUGCUAAUGGAGACGCGAUGAUAUCGAGAGAAUCUCUGGCAUUUGGAAGAGCUCCGUCUUCCUCCUCCUUUUCGCUCUGCAGGACCCGAAGCAGAAAUUUC